CAAUAGCGUAUAUUAAAGUUGUUGCGGUUAAAAGCUCGUAGUUGGGUUUCUGUCGGUGAGCGAAGGUCCGCCCUAGUGGUUGGUACACUUCGCGCCGCCGACAUCUUCCUGGGGAAUGUGUCUGCACUUCACUGUGUGGCGCGGGAACCAGGACGUUUACUUUGAGGAAAUUACAGUGCUUCAAGCAGGCUCACGCUCUCUGAAUACGUUAGCAUGGAAUAAUAGCAUCGGACCUCGAUCCAAAGCUGUUGGUUUCUUGGAUCUGGGUAAAGGUGAAUAGGGAUUGUUGGGGGCAUUCGUAUUUAACUGUCAGAGGUGAAAUUCUUGGAUUUGUUGAAGACGGACUACUGCGAAAGCAUCUGCCAAAGAUGUUCUCAUUGAUCAAGAACGAAAGUUAGGGGAUCGAAGAUGAUCAGAUACCAU
Molecule: ribosomal RNA, 423 nt
Filed under: uncultured eukaryote
Lineage: Eukaryota
Description: SSU rRNA
Rfam family: Eukaryotic small subunit ribosomal RNA
Source: RNAcentral